Non-coding RNA from Salmo salar (Atlantic salmon), 54 nucleotides. Lineage: Eukaryota; Metazoa; Chordata; Actinopteri; Salmoniformes; Salmonidae. The record is from Rfam.
UCCAUUCACUACUGUAAGUCGCUCUGGAUAAGAGCUUCUGCUAAAUGUAAAGAA